RNAcentral lists this unclassified non-coding RNA (202 nucleotides) under Hevea brasiliensis (rubber tree). Lineage: Eukaryota; Viridiplantae; Streptophyta; Magnoliopsida; Malpighiales; Euphorbiaceae. The record is from RNAcentral.
GUCGAUUCUCAAUACAAAGUGCAGUAAUAAGAUAAUUGUAUAUAUCAUGAGAUACUAUAAAUCUAAAUCUUUGAAGCUCGGUGACUAAAUUCACAGCUGAAACCAAAUUAUCCUGUUUUUGAAAUCCUUGUACAAGAACUGAACAAGUGAACUUAUCAGGAUACAUCCCUUCUCCAAUCAUGUCAUGCAACAGAGAACGUGC